UCAUAUUUCAUACAGGUAAGCCAAAUUGUACCACUCUACUUCUCAAUCUCACUAGUGGCCUCAUUUACAUAUCCGUACCAGGCUAAAUGGACCUUUUAUAAAAUAAUCUCUAACUUUCUCCCCUAGUUCUUAUGACUCUUUUUUCUUAAUCAGUAUGCUGCAUCCUCACCAGCGUCUGCUAUUCCUUAACAUGCCACAUAAGUUAACAUUCAGGGCCUUUUCACUGCCUUAACCUCUCUGCAGAAUGUUCUUUCCUAGUGGCAUGGCUUAUAUGCUUAUGAGAUUCUCUGCCUAUAUUGCCUCUUUAGACAGACCUUUCCUAACCACCUUAUGUAUAGUAGCAACCACCUCCACAUUCUGUCCCCAAUCCCUGCUUUUUCUUCUUAGCACCUGAUGGUAUAUAUUGCUUAUAAUGUUAUGGUCAGUCUUCUUCUCUGGGAUGUAAACUCUAUAAAAGCAGGUACAUUAUAUGGGAUACAGCUGUAUAACCAGCACACAGAAGUAUACCUGGCACAUGGUAAGGAGUGCAAUACAUAUUAAUUCAGUUUAUGAAUGGAUGAAUGGGAUUUCUGUUAUCCAAUAACAUAGUUUUUGUUUGAAUGAAUAGGAAAUUAAAGAAAGUUAAGGAUGUGCCCAUAAAGACAAUGAUAAAUAAAUUCAUGUUCAUUCCUCAAAUGAUACGAAUUUUUUUUAAGACUAGGAGAGUUAUUCAGUAGUAGUAAAGAAAAAAUUUAUUUUUUUAAAUACUAUUUCAGUUGAUGGUGGGCUUUAUUUGUUUACUUAUUUUUAUUCAUUUACUGUGCUGAGAAUCGAACUUAGUACCUCCCAUAUGCUAGGCAAGCUCUCUGCCACUGAGGUAUAACCCCAGCCCCUCAAAAUUUAUAUUUUCAACAAGACAGUUUACUUCAUAUGAAAUUCAUAAAAAGCCUCAGUAUUACUUUUGAAUGGAAAGUUGCAGUUAGUGUAUUUAGGCCUGAACAUUUAAAAAGCAAAUAUAUACAUAUUCAUAUACACUCCCAUACAAUAGUUUCAUGAAAGCCUAUCUGUAUAAACAGACGCAUCUUCUUUCCUCAACAAAUUCCUACCAGGAGGCCAUCAGCUACUCAGGACUCUUAGAGUCGUAUGUGUUGUAUCCUAUUAAUUUGGUACUGUUGCUCCUGUUUAAGAAAACGUGGUAAUAUCUACAUUGGUUUCACAGAGGCAGAGAAGUAUUCUGCAUGAUUAUGUUUGUGGAUUAUCUACUACUAUGCACCUCCUAGUUUACAAAAAUGUGGAAAAUCCCACCACAAAGCAGAUGUCUCUCUUCAUGUAUAAUUUGGUGGAAGGCAGAGCAUGGUGAGGAUGUCAGUUUUUACUAGUGAGCUGAAAAUCUAAAUCAUGAAAUAUAGUUAGCCACACCAAGGCCCCCCUGAGCCAUGGACAGAAGGUCAUUCUGAGUAUUCCUUGAAGAUGGCAGUCUGUUAGUGAAAUGAAUAGGGAAACACAAGUUGAGCCACUGGGCCUCUCUAGAAUUCAGGAAGGAUUUUAAUCUGGCAUGUUCAAUUUGUAUGUCAACAUUCAUUUAACUUUUAUCAUGUGGUUGUGUUCUCUGAUAAGGGGACAGCUGUGAUCAUGGGACAGAAGAAUGAUAAACCUUACUUCCUAUAAAGACUUUCAAGCCGAGUAACCCCUCUGAGAAUAAGUGCUCCCAAUACCAGUUCCAUUUCUUUUCCCGAAGACAGCUCAUGUUUAUUGUCCUUUCUUCUGUACUUUCCUGCACCAGAAAAGGAAGCAGCAAAGCUUAAUAGAGAAGGGCAGUAGACUAAAUUUAAACUAUUGUAGUAGUGUACUACUAGAGGUUUUUCUAGGAUUUGGAGGUCAAUAUAUGUUCCUUUCUCAAAGGGUCUGUAUGUGCACAGGCAGCCAACCAUGGUUGUUAAGUAAUGAUAAAAUUGUUCAUAGAUAGAUCUUGCUGCUAAAAAAGGAGUCUAAUUUUGCCAUUUGAACCAACUCAGUUUUAUUUGUAGCAGUCAAACUUUCACGAUACCUGUGCAUAAUAUAUCAGAGCUGGUUCAGUAUACUGGUAUCCAGCCUGAGGAGUGCAGAGUCGAAGAUCCCAGGAGGAAAUAAUACCACUAAAGGGCGGUCAUAAUUUACAUAUGUGUUCACAUACCUUCUCAUAGAAAUCCCAAAUGAAGUACAACAAGAAAGUACUGCUACUCUCCACUGACAUUGCAGUAGUGGACAGCCAUCCUACAUAGUGAAUCAGUUUAGACAUAGAGUUCAUGAAUCUACCAGGUUGUCUCUAGAGGACUGCGUGUCAUUGGUUUCAUGCGAGUGACCACAGAAAGCCACAACAGCCAGUUUUGCAAUGGCUCUUUCAGACUGAAGAACACUGCACUUGAAAGAAAUGUUGAUGUAAAGAAGAGGCUUCAUGUCUGAGAAACUACUAAAAGGAAUCCAGCUCAGGAGCUGAAGGAAUUGUGACCAACAAAAGAGGCCAUCCCAGAGAGGAAGGAUCUUAAACAGGAACAAAGCCCUUCCUAUAGGAAGCAGUGUGCCCUGAUCAUAGUGUCCAGGAAGUUGGUAAAGUCUUAUCUCCGUGUUCCUAAUUUUUCAUUUUAUACCAAAUACAUUCUUCUUGCAAUGUAUCUUAACCAAAGAUAGAGCCCCCCAGUAAGAUCGACUCAUCUCUGACACAGUUGCUAUAGUGAAGUAGCACAGAGUUGUUCACACAACUCAUCUGAGCAGGCACCUCACACGAAUGGAUAUUUUGUAAGCAUUCAGGGAAGUUCUGAAGCUGAUCUUUUUUUUUUUUUAAGAGAAAAAAGAGAGAGAGAGAAUUUUAAUAUUUUAUUUUUUGGCGGACACAACAUUUUUGCUUGUAUGUGGUGCUGAGGAUCGAACCUGGGACGCACGCAUGCCGGGCGAGCGCGCUACCGCUUGAGCCACAUCCCCAGCCCCUGAAGCUGUUCUAAUGGGAGGGAUCUACUGUGAUUGAGACAUUCAGAAAGACUCAUCUCUUUUUUUCAACGUUCUUUAGCGUAGCUACCAGAAUUUAGCCCAGGUAAAACUGAGUGAAAAUUCCAUUUUUUUUUUUUUUUUUUUUUAGGAUGGACAUUAGCUGGACCUAACCGCAGUUUUAGAGGUUCUGGAAAAGGUUGCCGAUUUCUUAGUAGAAGCAGUCAGAUAUAGAAGAACUGUAUCCAAUGGAGAGAAAAAGAAUAAAUUAAGUAAAUUUAAUCCGUUCAAAGAAAGAAACAAGCAAUGUUUAUAACACAAAGAUAGAAGAGGUGAGGAACCCUCAGAGAGCCCAGAUUUACUUCCAUGAAUCCAGCCCAGUGUGGUGAGACUCUGUUGAUUCUAUAUGAGGAAAAGUUCUUUGUUCUCCAUGUUGCAGUAAUCAGACCCAGCACUUUGCUUGGUUAUGACAAUGUGGGUCAUGGUUAAAUUCAUUCCUUGUCUGCCAAAGGAGAAAACAGCUUGUCACAAUUCUGGGGCACUCCUUCAACUCCACCCAGUGGAAAGUCAAACAUCUGCACAAGCAAAGGCCCUUCCCACCACAGCAUGGUCUCUCUUGUGUUCCCUGAAUCCCUCACAACUGUGCCUGCUACUGUGCAUUUCUGGGGGGUCUGUGAAGCAGAGAUGCUGAGACCAACCCCAGGGCCCCCUCUGAUGCACAGCAUGGGUAACUGCCACAGCCCUGUUGCAGUGCACUCGUGGUUCUUGAAAAGUUCCAGGUGGAGUACCAUUCUCUUCCUUUGCUCAUGCCUAAAGCAGUUUCCCUCCACUGUUAUGUCCUUCUCAUUAAGACUCAGGUUAAAUCUGUUGCAUUUCCUUCAUGGAUUUAUUAGCACUUAGUAAUGUAUUCUUUUAAGUGCCUCCAUUCAUUGAUCUCUGCUUCCUCAAAAUUCCUAGUGCUUGUAUGGUACAUAGUAUCAGAAUGCUAUUUAUCUUUUUUUGUGUGUCUUCCAUCUCUCCACAGUGAUAUUGGACACUUUUUGUGGACAUAUACUCUGUGCCUUAUGUAUAUUUUAUAUUCCUAGGGCCUACCAAAAGUAGGUUCUCAGAACUUGAUGGUAUAGGUAGUAGCUAGAUCCGUCUACUAAAUUUAGAGUUUGGUAUUUUCUAACUCUAAUAUUAAUCAGUUCAAGUUAAGGGACUCUGAAAGUAACUAAAUACAGAGUCAACAGAUCCAAAGUGAUUAUACUAUAUAGUCUUUGGUUCCUUCUGUGAAGGAUUUGGUACAAAGAAAAACUGACCCUGAUUAUUUUCUCUGAGAGUCCUGGGAGGUCAAUGAAAAAGAAACAGUUCAGGAAAGAGUGAGUUUGUUUGUUUAUUGUUUUUAAUUAAUUUAUUUACCAGUUUUCCACAGAGAAUUCCACGUGUUUCUACUCCCCGAGCAGUGUUGGCACUGGCUGACUGGAGAAACUGUGGACUCAGCUUCCUGGGCACCUGCACAUGGCACAAUCAAUGGAUUGUAGAAAUUGGACUGGAAAGGGGAAAGUCUGAGACCAUGAGGCUGAAUCAUUCCAAGCAGACCUCACAGCCGCUAGCACUGGGAGAGCAAACUAAGUCACUAAAAUCCCUGCAACUUCAGACAUUGAGUUGGGCAUUGGGCAUCUCACUCUAAUGGCAUCAAAAACGUGUUGUAAAGUCUCUUCUGCAGCCUAUAGCCAGAGCUCAUUAGGAGAUGUGAUUGUUAAUUUUAGGUAUCAGCUUUACUGCAUUAAGGAAUAGGAACAUGGUAAAGAAUUACUUCUGGGUGAGACUUUCAGGGGUGUUCUGAAGGAAAUUGAUAUGUGGUUGUACAGAAUGAGUGGGGAAUAUCUACCCUCAAUAUGGGUGGGCACAAUGCAGUCAGCUUUGGGUCCACAUAGAAACACAAGAAAGGCAGAGGUAAGUCACUCGUCUUUUUCUGCCCCUGGGAAAUAAAAACUGUUCAUUUUAGAGGAUGGAUUCCAAGACUGGCACCAAGUGACUCCUGGAUUCUCAGGACUUUGGACUUGGACUGAGAAUUAUGCCAUUAGCUUCCUUGGUUCUGAGGGUUUUGGAUGUCGACUGAGCCACAUGAGCAGCAUUGCAGGGUCUCCAUCUUGGAAAAAGGCUUCUGUGAGAUUUCUCAUCUUCUGUAAUUAUAUGAGCCAUGUUGUCUCUGCCUAGAUUUUAGAGUAUGUUGCAGAAAGCCUGAGAGCAUGGAUGGAGGCAUGACACAGGAUCAGAGCCACCAAAGAGACUUCCCUUUGGGUCAAUGACUUGGCAUUGUAGGAGUAGGGCAGCCCCUCAAGACCCUAAAACCAAAGAGCCAUCAGCCAACAAUUCCGGUCUGGACAAGAUGAGGGCAAACUGCUAACUUCUGAGAGCUGCUGGGUGAAGUGAGCCCAGCAAAAAUAUAGCAAUGACCUGUCUGAGGCCUUGGGGGAUCCAACCCUUUUCUUAGUGUGCACCUAUGUAGGACAUGGAAUCAAAAGAGAUUGUUCUCCAACUUUAGGACUUAAUGUUUUCUCUUUUUUGUCUGGCCUUGAACUUGGGAAUCCUCCCACCUCAGCUUCCCCAGUAGUGGGAUUACAGGCAUGGGCUACCAUGCCUGCUCCAAUCACUCCAUUCUUCAUUUGUUCCUCCCUUUUGGAAUGGGGGACUGACCGUCUGAUACCUGUUCCACCAUUGUAUUUUGGAAGCAUGUAACUUAUUCAUUUCACAGGCUCACAACUGGUGAAGGAUGAAUUGUGUCUUGAGUCUCACCCACAUCUGAUUUAUCGGAACCUUUGGACUUUUGAGUUCAUACUCUUGAUGCUUCAAGAAAAGGGUAGGCUUUAAUUGGUCAAGGUAAGACAAGUGUAAACUACUACUUUCCAGAGCAUUUCUAAGAAAUUUAGGGAUUCUCUGUCAGAAUCUAAGAAGAAGGAUGAAAAACUAACCUUCCCAUUCAACUGAACAUUUUAUUUUUUUUUUCUCUUUGAACUCAUAAGAAUAUCAGGGUAUGAAUUUCUAAGAGUCCUACAAUAAGGUAGUCUUGAUAAUGGAAAAUGACUUCAGUAGUUAUUUACUUCUAGAUUGAGUCUUUAGAAGAAAGUUUAGAUGCCAAACCCUGCCCCUCUCAAAAAACAAAAACCAGUCUGGUCCCUCUAAAAAGGCAUGAAGAAAUGGGUCAUAAACUGCUUCAGGAUACCAAGAAUGGACUCAGUUUGUGAGCCCAGUGGAGAAACCCCAUGAGAAAGCCAGCAAGCUAAGGUUAGGGAGCAAGUUUCACAGCUAUAUUUUCAUAUUAAGAAAAAAAAGUUAGAAAGUAUAUUAAAUUUCUGCACAUUCAACAGCAACGUCUGAACUGUUGGACAAUGACAAUGUUUGAUCAGGAGGUGCACAGUCAUUCGGCAGUCUGAUGAUGCCAUCUAGCCAUGAUGAAUUAAAGUUUGGCUGAAUCUUUUCCUUUCAAUUCAGUAAAUCCACUUAGUCAAUGUAUACAAGUAGACACUGUGCUCAGCCUACACAGGGAACACAAAUGUGAAUGAGACUCAAGACUCAGGUCCUACCUUGUGGGAAGUGAAAAUAGUUAUUGCAGAUAACUCCAUGAAUGGGUAAAUGAUCUAAGUUGUGUUGCAGAUGAAAAGAGCUCUGAGAGUUUUAGAGAGAACAGAAUCAAUCUACUUGAAGAGAGGAACUGGAAAUCCUUCUAGAAAAGUAGGGAAGACAGAAAGAAUAGUUAGAAGACAAAUGAUAACAAGCCUCUUUGGGCAAGAUAAUGUCUUGAGAAUAUGAGAGUUCAAUUUCCCUGAAAUUAGAAUGUGUACAAGGGAACAACUAAUGGGAGCAAAGCUUGUCCAGGAAAUGGGGUGGAGGUCAAAAGGUCAGGCCUCAGAGCCCAGCCCUCCUUGUCUUCUUCCAUUGUACUUUUAAAUGGAUUUUCAGCAAAUUGACUUCUUUAAAUGACUACUUGAAAGUCAGUACCUGUCUUCCACAGAUUCCUCUAAUAAUCAAGAUAUACUCACCAUUUUUCCCCAUUUUCUUGAUUGCAGUCAUCAAUGACAGGAGGAAAGAUGGCCAAUAGUUUUUGUGGUUGAACUUAAUUAUCACCCACUAUACACAAUGUUUUUCUUGACUAAAUUGUUUAAGAAUCAAGAAUGCUUUCAGGGCAAGCACAAUUCAGUAGUCCCCCCCUUUUUUUUUCUUAUUUUUUUAAAAGUCAUUCAUCGAAUUGCCCCAUUGUACUGUAAUUUUGAAGAUUUUUUUUUUUUUUUUACAAAAAGCCAAUCUGGUCUCUAAUUCCCUGACCAUUUUGAAUCUCUGAAUAACCUUAAAAGCUGAGUAUUUGACAUUUAAAGACAGCACCAGCUUUUCAGAAAAUUGAUAUUGCUUCAGCUCAAUUGCAUGUUUUCAACAAAGGCCUCUUUUACAAGAUAGCCAGUGUCAUUCUGGGGGAUUCAUCCCAGGACUGCCUCUGUGAUCCCACUUACCAGGCUUUGACAAUAGAACCCCCUUGGAUAAGGACUGCCAUACUCUGUUCUGUUACACUGGCUAUCUUGUAAAAGAGGCCUUUGUUGAAACCAUACAAUUCAGCUGAAGCCAGGUGAAUUUUCUUAAAAGC
Molecule: long non-coding RNA, 7561 nt
Filed under: Marmota monax (woodchuck)
Lineage: Eukaryota; Metazoa; Chordata; Mammalia; Rodentia; Sciuridae
Source: RNAcentral